RNAcentral lists this ribosomal RNA (396 nucleotides) under Triticum aestivum (bread wheat). RNAcentral describes it as "partial small subunit ribosomal RNA". The record is from RNAcentral. Lineage: Eukaryota; Viridiplantae; Streptophyta; Magnoliopsida; Poales; Poaceae.
AUGUGUGUACCGAAGAAGAAAGGGGGCUUAGGAUUUAGAGACCUUCACGGUUUCAACCUUGCUUUACUAGCAAAACAGUGUUGGCGACUAAUCCAGAACCCGGACUCUCUCUCUGCAUGUGUACUAAGCGCAAAGUAUUAUCCAGAUGGGAAUAUUCUGAAGGCAGGCCCAAAGAAAGGCUCAUCGGUCACCUGGCAGAGUAUUGUUGCAGGGAUUCAAACCUUCAAAAGGGGAUGUAUAUGGUGUGUGGGCACAGGAGAGCAAAUAGAUAUAUGGCAGGAUCCAUGGAUCCCAUCGAGCCCCUCAAGGAAAGUGAUUACACCCCGAGGAACGAUCAUGCUAAGAUACAUGGAGGAACUGAUAGAUCCACAUAACAGACAUUGGGAUGAAGCCUAA